This 1286-nucleotide ribosomal RNA is filed under the name human gut metagenome. Its description in RNAcentral is "bacterial LSU rRNA". It matches the Rfam family "Bacterial large subunit ribosomal RNA", at positions 1100 to 2400 of the family's 2925-position model. The record is from RNAcentral.
GUUGGCUUGGAAGCAGCCAUUCAUUUAAAGAGUGCGUAACAGCUCACUAGUCGAGUGAUCCCGCAUGGAUAAUAAUCGGGCAUAAGUCCGCUGCCGCAGCCGUGGAAUCUCAAAUAUUUUUGAGAUUGGUAGGGGAGCAUUCCGCACGCCGCAGAAGGUGAGGCGCGAGCCUUGCUGGAGGUACCGGAAAAGCAAAUGUAGGUAUAAGUAACGAUAAUUGGGGCGAGAAACCCCAACGCCGAAAGACCAAGGGUUCCUGAUCAACGCUAAUCGGAUCAGGUUAAGUCGGGACCUAAGGAGGAGCCGCAAGGCGCAUCCGAUGGACAGCCGGUCAAUAUUCCGGCACCCGGCGCAAGAGUGAUGCGGCGACGGAGAAGUGACACAUCCGCGUGCUGACGGAAUAGCACGUUAAACCGCGUAGUUAUAUAUGGCGCAGUCAAGUACACGCUGUAUGAUGAAACGGGACAGUACCGAGAAGCCCCGGCGGAUCGGACAGUGAUGGUAAACCGGCUCCCAAGAAAACCCGCUAAACAAAUCUUGCGUUGGCCCGUACCGUAAACCGACACAGGUGGUCGGGUAGAAUAUACUAAGGCGCUCGAGAGAAUCAUGGUUAAGGAACUAGGCAAAUUGACCCCGUAACUUCGGGAUAAGGGGUCCCCGCUGCAAGGCGGGGCGCAGAGAAUAGGUCCAGGCAACUGUUUAACAAAAACACAGGGCUAUGCAAAGUUUAAAGACGAAGAAUAUAGCCUGACACCUGCCCGGUGCCGGAAGGUUAAGAGGAGAUGUCAUCGCAAGAGAAGCAUUGAAUUGAAGCCCCGGUAAACGGCGGCCGUAACUAUAACGGUCCUAAGGUAGCGAAAUUCCUUGUCGGGUAAGUUCCGACCUGCACGAAUGGUGUAAUGAUCUGGACACUGUCUCAACCAUGAACUCGGUGAAAUUGUAGUAUCGGUGAAGAUGCCGAUUACCCGCAACGGGACGAAAAGACCCCGUGAACCUUUACUGCAGCUUAGCACUGUGACCGGGUGUGCGAUGUGUAGGAUAGUCAGGAGACAGCGAGUCAGGGACGCCAGUUCCUGAGGAGUCGACGUUGAAAUACUGACCUUCGCACAUUUGGUCUCUAACUCUCGGCUGAGAGGACACUGCUUGGUGGGUAGUUUGACUGGGGUGGUCGCCUCCAAAAGAGUAACGGAGGCUUCUAAAGGUACCCUCAGACCGAUUGGUAACCGGUCGCAGAGUGUAAUGGCAUAAGGGUGCUUGACUGGGAGACAGACAAGUCGAUCAGGUAG